Molecule: ribosomal RNA, 497 nt
Filed under: uncultured bacterium
Lineage: Bacteria
Description: partial 16S ribosomal RNA
Rfam family: Bacterial small subunit ribosomal RNA
Source: RNAcentral
GAUGAACGCUGGCGGCGUGCCUAAUACAUGCAAGUCGAGCGAACAGACGAGGAGCUUGCUCCUCUGACGUUAGCGGCGGACGGGUGAGUAACACGUGGAUAACCUACCUAUAAGACUGGGAUAACUUCGGGAAACCGGAGCUAAUACCGGAGAAUAUAUUGAACCGCAUGGUGCAAUAGUGAAAGACGGUUUUGCUGUCACUUAGAGAUGGAUCCGCGCCGCAUUAGCUAGUUGGUAAGGUAACGGCUUACCAAGGCGACGAUGCGUAGCCGACCUGAGAGGGUGAUCGGCCACACUGGAACUGAGACACGGUCCAGACUCCUACGGGAGGCAGCAGUAGGGAAUCUUCCGCAAUGGGCGCAAGCCUGACGCAGCAACGCCGCGUGAGUGAUGAAGGUCUUCGGAUCGUAAAACUCUGUUAUUAGGGAAGAACAACUGUGUAAGUAACUAUGCCCGUCUUGACGGUACCUAAUCAGAAAGCCACGGCUAACUACGUG